Molecule: non-coding RNA, 747 nt
Organism: Pelobates cultripes (western spadefoot toad)
Lineage: Eukaryota; Metazoa; Chordata; Amphibia; Anura; Pelobatidae
Source: the annotation of a GenBank genome assembly
CUUUACAUCUGGCAACGUCCAUAUAAAAAUCGAUGCAUUCUUCUAUUUUGCCAGCUUUAUAAUGAACAAAUUAAUUUUAGUCUGCUGAAAAUCUUUAUAAAAAAAGACAUGUAAAUAGUGCACACUCCACCUUUGAAUUUGUAAUCUGCUGCCAGACUGAUUUUUGCUAAUGCAUGCCAAGACCUGAAAAUCUGGGCAAUCUUGUCAUGGUGGGUGUAUUUGUGACGACAUACAGGGUUCAUUUUUGUAAACAUCCUACACUCAGCUCUAAAGGUCUGAAAUGGCUGGGAGGGGGGUGUUUACCUCAAUUGACCUGAAAAAACUGCAGGCGCUUGUUAAAGUUGAUGACAAGCAAACUGAGAUGUAAAAUCUAACUGGGCCAUUUGUUUGCAAUCAAUGUCUGGUACAAUUGUUUUCUGGUAUUCUUAAACUUCUCUAGAUCUGUCACUUUGACCCUCAAUAGUGCGCCUUUGCAUCAUUGGAUGACAGCGCAACGGGAACAUUUUGACACGGUCCAUUAUUUCCCAUGACCUUCUCCACGGUAGUAAGAUUUAAUGGCUAUUCAGAAUGCUUUAUAGCGGUUUCAUACAGUAACAUUUAUAACUGUACCUCUUCUACACUUGCAAGUAAAUAAAGUUUUCCUUUUUGUAUUUGCUAUCCAAAGUCUUUCUAUUGGGUUAAGAGGGGAAUGUUAAUCCAUUCUUUUUUUAGUUAUACGGUAUUAUAAAGCUGCAAUUAAUCCCUCAG